CAUCUGAAGCGCUCUUUUUUCUCCUUGUUUUCUUGUCGGGUUGCCAUCGAUCGUUGACAGGGUACCGAUUUCCGGAGCACACGCACUACACCCGUGCAUCUGUAUGUUCUUCUCGCUGUUUUUCCUUUCUUGUUUUACUCGGUUUUCUCUUCGUUUCCUUACACCAUUGCCACUCCGUUCGUUUCAAGACAGGAAGGAAAUCUUGCGGGGGCACACGCGCAGGCACAGGCCUCGGGAUCGCCUUCAACCGGACACAGAGACAUCGAAAGCCCCGACCCCCGCCGCCAACCUACCAAACAACCAAACAACCACCUCAACAGGGAGUGGCAGAAGAAAAACACAACAGGCACAUUUUUCUUCAUUGGCCGCUUCCGCGCUGAGCUCUCUUCUGUUAUUACCGUGCCCUUCGGCUGAGCUGCUGCAACGGCGUGGACCGCGUCUACGAGUCUCACUUUCGGCAUCGCGUUGUUGCUCACUGGACACCCCCGCAUCAUCGUCUCUUCAGAACGUCGCCUUUCCUGGGUUUUCCUGUUCUUCCUCUGAUCGGUUUAAGCGUCUGUGUUCUCUCUUGUUUUCUUCUUUGCCUUUUUUUUCUCGUGCACGUGUGUGCUCCACCGGCAUUGACGUGAACGGACGAACGGUGCCGUUCAGUGCUGUAAUACCUUUUCGUUUCUCUGUGCCGCGCUCAGCUGAGGGCACACCGUGGCCCUCCACGGGCACCGACAGAGACAAAACUUCGCUUGCUCUCUCCGCCCUUCUGCACGCGUGGUGCAACUCUACAGUAAAGAGAGAAGACACGCCUACGUCAGAUAGCGAGAGACGACCUGGAAAAGGAAAAGAACGGCAGAGCUGAUAAAACCGCUGAGGCCCCCGCUUAACCGUCUAUAAAACACCGUAUCCGACCUAACGGAGAAGUACACGUCUACAUACAGACAGACAGACGUCGUGGCUGUUCGCUUCUUAUUUUAUGUCGUUUUCUCCAUCUUGUUUUCUGUUUAGCUCUCAUCAAGUCGAAACAGCGUGCAUUCGCCAACACGUGCAUCCCCCUCUCCCUCGCGCGGGCUGUCGGCAGAGUUUUCUUUUCUGCUGGGUUGUUGUUUCCGUUCUUUCGCCUCUGUUGAUUUCUUCGAGUUCCACGCACGGUGUCGCUUUCGCGUUUUCUAUCUUUCUCGUCGUCCCUUUCUGCUCUGUGUAUCACGAAAAGGGCGAGGGAAAGCAAGGCAACCCCUGGACGGCGUUCUCUCCUUUCCUCUCAUCUUUUUCCCACGUACCGUCUCCCUCUCCUCCGCUCUUGCACCAGCCUUCUUCAACCCUAACGGUGCGCACCUGCUGCACCCUCUCACACCUCGAGGCACGGACAGAGGGAUAGCAGAAACGGCUGUGCUACUACUAUUCUUCGUUAAGGUUUAAGCCGACGCAGAGAGAGGGAGAGCGACAGCAAGGACAGGUGACGUGGGGGGGGGAGCAGCCGAUACGAAGAGAAGGAACGAACACGGCUGCAAGGGGAAGGCUUAUCACUGGUACGUGUGCGUUUUCGUUUUUUCUUUUCUCUAAAGCGCCUCUCCCAUUUCUCGUUUCCGUCUGUCUCUCUCUCUCCUCCCCCCUUGUUCGUGCUGCCGUUAUCCUCGGCGAAAGCGAGGGAAGGAACGACGAAAAAAAAGAAAAUAAGGCCGAGCACUCACUCGUCACGCCUUCGCCACUCAAGGCGUGACGAUACAUACAACACAAUACACACACAAGGUGCUGCAACGCGCGCAGAAAGGGGAGAAAAAAACGGAAGAAGGACGCACCCCGAUACAGAACGAUUUACGAGGAGGGAGAGAAAGAGUGGGACGACUUCUGCGCAGCACUCGCGACACCACAAGACGUUUGCGAUCGGGAAAGUUUAUCUUGAUCAGCGACGGAUUGUUUUCGUGUCUUGCGACGAGUCCGCAGCGGGGAAAACGCACACGCACCCACCUGCCCCCCCCCCCCCCCCCCCACACACACACACAUACACAUACACGACAAGGAACAAGACAUCCCCCUCCUAGCUGCAUGACAUCUCUUUCUCUCUCGUAGGGUCUCUCCUCCGUGUACCGGUGUGUUUCUCUCUUCUUUGCGCCCGUUUCCGUGUUCUUCAUUUUUCGUUAUCUGCCGCUUGCGCGCUGUGAUUUCUCGCCUGUCUUUGUUCUUUUUUGAAGGGGGCGCUCUCUCACUUCACCUGCGUUUGUGUUUUUUCGCUCGUGUGUGUGUGUGUGUGUGUGUGUGUGCCAAUCGACUCUCCGUGUCGGCUCUCCCCCCUUUGAGCACGCCGGAGCUUUCUCUCUGCACGCCUCCUCAAUCCCUCUCCUUGCUGGUGUUGCUUCUCUGUCAACGUUCGUGUAGGUCAACCUCGCUCUUUCGAAGCCCAGAAGCAUAUCGUUCCGGUACAAGGUGCCGCUUACAAGGCUAUCCUGCUCGCUACGCAGCUGCCAGCAGCCGGCCGUUGCCGUGUGCCUCGGGGUUAGGCGUAAGAAAAGCAACUGAGAAAGCUUCAUUAAUAUCAUCGCAUUUUUCUUUUUUUUUUUCACAGACGUGUACUCUCGUGACAGAGCAACGAAGGCUCUUCCGUGAGGGUGUGACGGUGGCGGGACCUGCAGCUCCGGCCGACGGCGACAACAGUGAAGCAAGUCGACGUAGAAGCAGCCGCGCAAUUUGGUUCACCACCUCCUCUUUCUGUCUCUCUUGCUUUGCUCUGUGUUCUUCCUCUUUUGUGUCGGUGUAGAUGCUCUGUCGCGUGAUCUGAUUUCGGUGUUCUUGGCUACUGCUCCACUGUUCUGUUUCUGCCGCUUUUAUUUAUGUAUUACUCGCCCCUCUCUUCUCUCUACGUUUUUCUGUCAAGUGCGUUUCUAUCUUCUUUCGCCGUCGUUUCCAGAUUGUCUUUGUGUACACUGGGGUAUGCGCGAGCGUGCACGAACACACGGCGACACACGAAAGGACAAAAAAAAACAUAAAGUAGCGCAGUGCUGAUACUGGGGACCGUUUCCGUUCUGCUUUCGGUACACUGCCUCACUUCUGCCGUGCUGUGCUUUCCGUAUUUGUGGUUGCGCCACGUCUUUGUCUGCCUCUUGCUCGCAUCGGAUCGGUGUUUCUUUUCUUUGCGUUCCUUUCGUUUCGUUACUUUCCACCUGCCGCUAAUACAGUCUGUGCUCCCCCUCCCUCCCACCCUCCCACACACACCCUCACCAAAAAAAUUAAGACGAAAAAGAAUAAGCUCCCGUGUUUCCUGUUAUACAUCAGUGUUGCGGUAAGGCGGAGCCCAACUUGCGAUCUCGAUCGCUUCUUUUUUCUUUUUUACCAGCGCCGUCACUCAAUCCUCUUUACAUCAUUGACAAGAGGACGUACAUGCCUGCGAGAAAGAGGGGCAGAGAAAGACACGCCUGAUAGAACAGAACCCCCUCCCCAACGAAAAACGGUGGAGAGCUGCUGUAGUUGUCACGAUUGGCGCAGAGGAAAGAUCCGCUACGCUUGUCUGCAUCAGCGACAGGGCGCGUGCGCGGUCAAGACUUGAGGAGCGACGGGGGGAGAGAGAGCUGGAGCUGUGAAAACGAAAAGCCUUGGAAGAGGUGCGCACGCCCCUUCACACGAGGCUCUUUGUUCUCGGCGCUCCACGUCUCCGAUUCUUCCAACCCGAACUCUCCAUCUUCUUCUAUCUUGGCCUUCCCUCGAGUGUUUGCGUCCUCUCCUCAAGGGACCGGCCACGCCUAGUUCACACACACAAAUACACACACAUAUAUAAGGUGUAUUCGCAUCCGUUGCCGUUUGCAUCGUCCUUUACGCCGCGGAGGAUUUUCUUUUUUUGCUUUUUUUUUCUCGCUGCGUGUCGGUUGUGCCUUGGCAGAGUCUCUGCGCGUGGUGGUAGGUAGCACCGACUCCGCUGCGAUUCUUCUUAUUUGGCGUUUCGUCUCGAGGGUAUUUUCUUGCAACGCCCUCCGUACCAAAUCACUUCGCAGCGCUUCUCGGUGGCACACAUAUCGGCCUGUGAGUGCUUUCUGACUUCUUUCCCUAUUCUCGUCCCGUUCUCACCGCCCUGUUCCUGUGCCACCAUAAGCAGGCUCUGCACAGCGGCGCGAGACGAUAGAGUUACAUGUCGUUUCUACAAAAAAAGAAGAUUCAACCGAUCUGUGAGCACGUCCCCCCCCUGCCUUCAGUGUCGUUGUACGUUCUGCCGCCGAAGACCGCGCCCACGACUGUGAUUUACGUCUUCACCUCUCUCCACGUGUGCGCUGCUGCCUCUUCGGGCCAGUACUUCUUUAUUUCGUCGGUUUUACUCGGUUUACUGCCCUUAUAACCAACCCACGGCGUUGCCAUUGGCCGCAACGAUUGUCUUGCCGUGCGUGCGUGUGUACGCGUGCCUCCUGAGUUUUUUUUUUCGCGCUCGCGUUUGUGUGUGUGUGUGUUUCCAUUUUUCUGACGCUUCUGUUUGGGACCCCACCUCCUUUUUUGGUUUUACUUGUUGUUUUUGCUUCGAAGCUGCAAACGCCUUUAGUGAUUUUCCACUUCUUCUUCUGUCCUUCUCAAGCCGCGCCUCGCUCUGCUUCUCCUGUGCCGCGGGACUUGUUUGUUCCCUCCUUUCCUCUUAUUUUUCUUGUGUGCGCGUGCACGCGCGUGUAUAUCAGCUCCGUCGCACGCCGCUCCGACCCUUCGCUUUCCCUCACUUCCUUCCUCUUUCUUUCUUCCCUGUUUUGCUCAUUACUUUACGGAGGCGUCGGCUCAAGUUGCAUCUGCGAGGAUCGCACCCGAAGCGGCAAGCGGUUCUCUGCCCGUGUGUGUCUUUCUUUUCUCUUCUGGAGCGCAUUGAACGGAGAGACUUCGUUUUCGUCCUUGUCCUGUCUGUCGGACUGCCGUCCGUGGGUAGGCCGAGCAGCUCUCUUCCUGUAUCUCUCCUGCUCUUCACCUUUGCCAGCAAAACGCCCUGCCUCCACCACCGCUCAAGCCCCGAUCUUCGAACACGACCGUAAGGAAUGGGAGCUCUUCCGAGCCACGAGACACACGAGCGUGGCCUCUACAGCCACCGCCACGGACGCAAUCGGCGGAAUGAGAUCAUCCUCAUCCCCUUGACGACAUCUUUCUUCCCCAGCCCCGACUGCCCUCUAUUCCAGCAUCUGUACAACUCGCGGUACCGACGCACCGCCAAGUACUACUUUCGUGCCCUGCGCAGUGCCCAGACGCCCCGCGACAGCGACUAUUUCUGCACCACGACGGCCAUCAACGAGGAGGAGGAGUUUGAAAAGUUCUACAAGGAGUAUCUGGAGAAGCGCGAACUCUGCGGAGAAAAGGCGAGUGUGGCGGCAGCGACAGCGACCGCGGUGUCGCCCACAGCCUCCUCCCCGCUCUUGUCUGGCUGCUCAGCCACCGGCGACAGCGGCGCCGACGCGGGAAGCACAAAUGGGCUGUCAGGCGCCAUUCCGUCGGCCCAGUCGCCUCAGGAUUGCCUGAAUGCGCAGGGUCUUCCGCCCAGGGUGGGCCCGAUGGACUUCCGCAGCUACUCCGACACCCGCGAAGGACUGUACCAGAUCCUCAUUCGCGAUAACGAGCCGGGCGUCUUUGCAACUGAUGAGGAGCUGCGGCAGGCAUACUGGAAGCAGCUGCAGGAGCAGCAGACGGGGCGUCAGCGUGCGUAUCAGCAGCAGCAGCAGGGAAGGCACUCCGCUAGCCAAGCGGCAACAGGCGGCGCGGGCGCAGCCGGCUCGAUGCCGCCUCCGCCUCCGCUCCCGCCCCCGCUCUCUCUAUCGCCGUCGGCGCCGCUGUCUCCUUCUGCUGGCAUGAACGACGCGCACGCGCUUCAUGGAGGACUCAAUGCCUCUGGCGUGCCCUCCGCGGCGAGCGCUGCGAUGGACGACUUGUCGUUUGACGAGUUCGUCUCUGGCUACGUGGCGGCGAAGCGCUACAUGAAGGGAAAGCCGUUGCAUACCAGCUUUAGCACAACGGCAGCCGCCGACGUGAAGGGAAAUCCGAUCACACCGGCGAUGGGUGCGGCUGGCAGUGCCAAGGUGCUAAACGAGUACUCGGCGAGACACUACAAGCACGUCACGUCGCCGGUGGCAUAUGACGUGCGCCCACUUCCUUGCGUGAUUGCUUCACGCUACGACCCCGGGAAGCCGCAGCCCGUUAACGACCCGCUCUACGUGCAGUUUGGCGACUCCUACGUGAGAAUUAUGGGCAUGUUCGGCUUCUUCCCCUCUACCAUCGGGAUGCGCCGGGCGGCGGGAAGCCGUGGCUCCGAGGACGGCACUGGCUCCGGCAAACCGCAGCGCAGCUUUCCGCGCAAGGAGGGCAAUUGCAACGGCAGCGACGACAUUGACGAAGAGUUUGAGAUUGAGCAACACCUACUGAAGGGGACAAUGUUCGUGGACAAGGACGUCGGCGAUCAAAUUCUCGGUAAUAUGGUGAUGCUAGCUACAUACAUGUACGUGCGCCAGUGCAUCGAGGCGCGCAUCCACCCCCAGGCGAUUCCGAUGCUCCCGGUGCUGAUACGCUUCCCGCUGUCGAAUAUUCCCAUGCUGCAGUUUGUGCGCGAGUUCCGCGUUCGCCUGCGCAGCCUGCUGGAGGCGGGGACGGCAAAGGCGGGUCAGAAGCCGGUGCACACUGGCAUGAGCGGCUUCAAUCCCGAGGACCUUGCCGAGCCUCACCACCCGCAGCUGCAGCGCCUGGAGGAAGAGGGCUACCUCUUCGAACCUGACAUCCCGUGUGCGACAACGCCGCAGCAAGUGUUCAUGUCUGUUGAGCAGGCGAGCAGCACCACUGCGCCGCUGCGGCGCCACGUUGGAAUGAAAACACCCAGCUGCGGCAAGUAUCCGAUUAUCAUGAUGUCCGGCUUCAAUGUGCAGUCCACGCCACUGCGGCACCCGGCCUUGAACACGACGGGGUACCCGCCUGCUAUGGCCGCCGCCGCCAUGAUUGCCGCCGCGCACCGCCACUCCGCCAUGUCCAGCCCGCAGUCGAGCUCGAAAUCAGCGUCUCCGUACGCCGCGUCUGGCAUGGGCCGUGCCCCAACCUUUCCUUUGACAGCGCCGCCGCCACCGUUGCCUGGGCAGGUGGGGUCUGCGUCGGCGUCAAACAGCACCACCUUGCCGCCACCGCCGCCCCCUCCGCCGCCGCCGCCGCCGCCCCCUCCGCCGGCGCCUGGAGCACCAGCUUCGGCAUCCGCUACUACGACCCCUGCACAUGAGGCGCGCAAGAGUGCCUUGCUGCACCGACGCAAGCAGCGCUUCCGCAUCUGGGUCGAGGAUGGCCACAUCUGCAUCUGGGCGAGCGCGGCCUACGCCCGUCGCGCGGCGCUCAUCAUGGCGCAGCAGCUCAACACCACGGUGGACAGCAACUCGGUGCCAGAGCAGCGGUCGUGGAACUACCGAGGACUGCUGCACGCGAACACGACGGUGCCACCACCGCGACACGUGAACGACGUCAUCAUUGUGGCUGAAGACAUCCCUACCAUGGACUUGUGGCAGGGGGAUGUGCUGCGGUGCUGCACGCAGGCGGAACUCCAGGCGAUGCUCAAGUCCAAGGGGGCGGGUCCGCUGCCGCUGCCGUGUGCCCGUGAGGAGACCGAAAGCAAGAGCGGCGCCAUCACCGGCACAACGGAGCGGCAAGCCGCCUCUCUAUCCAUCGCCGCCGCCGCCAAGCCUGCUGCCAUGGAGUCGAUCGGCGGCUUCACGAGCCCGUCUGUCAGCUCCAGCACGGCGGAUAGCGGCGUCGCUGCCGCUGGCGCGGGCGGACACGUCAACUUCACCAGCAAUCACGUGAGCAAUCCGCUCUUGCAGGAGAAGGAGAUGGCCCCGCCGGAGGCUUUCUGGGUGCGUGGCUCCGGUGGCCUGGAUGACUCUUUCACGAACAUUACGGAGACGAACAUGCCGCCCCACCCAAAGGCCGAGAAGCAGCUGAUGCAGGCCGCCAUGCAGCGGGCAAAGAAGGCCGCUGCCGCCGUGGCAGUCGCGCAGAACAGCGGCAAAAAGCGGCGCCCCACGAACGCCGAGGCGGCCGUGUCAGCUGCUGCGCAGCUGUUCAUCGACAUCGACCGUCGCGAGGGGACCAUGAACAUCGAGGAGGUGGUGCUGGCCUGGAUCAAGGUGGUUGCCAUUCUCACCCGCGACUCCACCGAGGAGGACCGCGCGUGGGUGCGCGACCCGCAAGGCAACCCGGUCCGCGUAGAUCGGUACGUCAUCCGCCGCUACGAGCAUGACGGGGUGCGCUUCUUCAUUGGUGUCACGCCGCGCUUCGUGGGCCAGCAGCGGCGCAUCGAAAAGGUGCUGGGCGAGGUGUUCGCACUGGAGGAGCGCGAGGGUCAUCGCUGGCGCCUGAAGAACCAGGGCCGCGGCGAGGAAGACGAGGAGUGCGAAGAUGGACUCCAUACCAGCCAUGAUGAUGACCCCUCAAACGAAGAGGAGGGGCAUCAUCGUCACUCGUCCGUGUCGCAUGUCUCCCGGCACACGGAAUCGCUUUCGUACGCCUUUGGCGCCUCCGCCGCCUCGUCUGUCAAGGCUCCAGACAGCUGUGCCGGCGGUAUGAGCAGCAUGUUCGACGAUGUCUGGGGCACCCUGGUGAUCCCGAUGACCCACUCCCCACCGUCGAGCACCGCGUGCACACCGGUUGCACCGUUGACCGUUGGGCCCAAGAUGCAGUCUUCUUUGGCGGCGUCGUUGAAUGCAGCCCUCCCGCGAAGCGAUUCAGGGGAGUCUGUCGAGAACAGCUCCCGCCUGGCCUUUACGGCAGUCUUUGGAAAUGCCGCGCCCGCAGCCGGCAAGUCCGCAGCCACGACGUCGCUAAGGACAAGAGAUGCGGAGCUAAUGGGCGCCGGCUUUGAGGUGGACGAUCUGCUGGAGCGGUACGCGUCCGCGCCCCUCUUCUUCGGCGGCGAAGACGACGAGUGAUUCACUGGUGUGAGUGCAGGUGCUGAAAGCGUAUCGUGCUGCAUCGUCAUGCCCCUCCCUUGCUGCUUUAAGUGAGCACUAUAGGCCAUCUGUGUCCUUCCCUUGCUUGUUUGUUCUUCGCUGUGGCAGACGUGAAUAUGUGCACAGACUGCUUCCAGUGAACAGCCAAGAUGGGAUCGAAGAUGCUGUGGCUCUGGUGGCAACAUACCGAGUAGCUGCGCUGAGUGUUCUCACCCACGUCAGUAGACCUCUUUGCGUCUGUGGCUGUUGUUGCCUCAUCGAAGGGUAAGAGUUCGGACUCCUCGCAUUCGCCUCUCCUCCUGACGGCAUCGAAAGCAGUGUCGCCGUAGGCCGUCUCUCUAGUGUGCUUAGGUGUCUGUGUGACGCCCAGAGGCGCGCGCAUGUGUCUCAUUUCGUUUUUUUUUUUGUGCUGCAGAUUCACGUACCUCAUGAUGGAGGGAGGCACAUACCUCAGUGAGCGGCAUCUCCAGGUCCAGUACACCCAUCUCCCCCCGCUUUUUGUGUGUAGGGAGCCAAGCAUCUCCUCCCUAUCGCUCUGCCAAUACCGAGCCGCUUCUGGUGGUGACAGGGUCAAGGCGCACACGGCUUGGGGAAGUCAGGGCGAUGCAUUGCUACAUAUGCCAGCGGUCAGGUCCUGGCUGGCGUUGCGGGGGAGAGACCUGCGACAGUGCACACGCACGCACCAUCCAUGUGAGGGGGAGAGUGUCAGCCUGACUCGAACGCAUCCCAUCCCCAGCCCUGACAUCGCCCACUGGUGCAGGGGAGCCUGAGCCGCCACCGAGAGGCGCACCAGGUCGCGACCUGCUUGAUGGGGGCUGUUGCGAGGCGGGUGGGUAGAGGGUGUGGCGAAGGCUGUGCUCCCAUCGCCGAGCCGGUAUAGCUGUAGAACGUGUCUACUGCUGCUUCGCAUCAUCUGAUUAGGCCUGUGGCAGAGGCGGGAGGUUAGAGUGGCAUUUUACUCAUGCUCUAAGGCAGAAUGGACAAAGCAAGUGGACGAGGCGAAGGUGUAGGUACCAGGGUGGUGAGGCGCACGAGCUGCUGUGCGCGAGAUCGAUGGACGUGCGAGCCAUUCGCAUCGAAGGGAGCGGCAGGCAUCCGUCACGGAUUUCGCUCUGCUCUCCGCAUGCCUAUCUUCCAUGAAAGCGUUUUUCGUUUUAUGUCGUUCUUAUUAUGUUUAUGUGCGUUGCUGCGUGUGCGUCUCUGUGCUCUCGUUUCUUUUUUUUUCCCUGUUCGCACCGGCGGUGGAAG
This 10160-nucleotide unclassified non-coding RNA is filed under the name Leishmania donovani. RNAcentral describes it as "gene:LdHU3.31.2330(CDS-product:hypothetical_prote in_conserved)". The record is from RNAcentral. Lineage: Eukaryota; Euglenozoa; Kinetoplastea; Trypanosomatida; Trypanosomatidae.